Molecule: ribosomal RNA, 466 nt
Filed under: uncultured bacterium
Lineage: Bacteria
Description: partial 16S ribosomal RNA
Rfam family: Bacterial small subunit ribosomal RNA
Source: RNAcentral
GAUGAACGCUGGCGGCGUGCUUAACACAUGCAAGUCGAACGGAAAGGCUCCUGCUUGCAGGGGUACUCGAGUGGCGAACGGGUGAGUAACACGUGGGUGAUCUGCCCUGCACUUCGGGAUAAGCCUGGGAAACUGGGUCUAAUACCGGAUAGGACGAUGGUUUGGAUGCCAUUGUGGAAAGUUUUUCGGUGUGGGAUGAGCUCGCGGCCUAUCAGCUUGUUGGUGGGGUAAUGGCCUACCAAGGCGUCGACGGGUAGCCGGCCUGAGAGGGUGUACGGCCAAAAUGGGGAUGAGACUGCGGCCCGUCCUCCGAGGGGAGGAACAGGGGGGAAAGAUUACAAAGUGGGCGAAGCCCUUGUCCAGCGCGCCCGGGGGGGGGAGGACGGCCUCGGGGUUGUAACCUCGUUCCGCAGGGGAGAAGCCGCAGGUGAGGGUCCCGGAAAAAGAACCCCGGGCUAACUACGUC